GGCAGCGUGUCCGAGUGGUUAAGGAGUUAGUAUUGCUUCAGCUUUCUAAUCCUCUCUGAGGGCCUAGGUUCGACUCCUAGCCUGCCU
Aspergillus wentii DTO 134E9 is the source of this 87-nucleotide non-coding RNA. NCBI's taxonomy places the organism in Eukaryota, Fungi, Ascomycota, Eurotiomycetes, Eurotiales, Aspergillaceae. The record is from the annotation of a RefSeq genome assembly.